This 2445-nucleotide ribosomal RNA is filed under the name Escherichia coli. RNAcentral describes it as "bacterial LSU rRNA". It matches the Rfam family "Bacterial large subunit ribosomal RNA", at positions 398 to 2826 of the family's 2925-position model. The record is from RNAcentral. Lineage: Bacteria; Pseudomonadati; Pseudomonadota; Gammaproteobacteria; Enterobacterales; Enterobacteriaceae.
UGUGAGCUCGAUGAGUAGGGCGGGACACGUGGUAUCCUGUCUGAAUAUGGGGGGACCAUCCUCCAAGGCUAAAUACUCCUGACUGACCGAUAGUGAACCAGUACCGUGAGGGAAAGGCGAAAAGAACCCCGGCGAGGGGAGUGAAAAAGAACCUGAAACCGUGUACGUACAAGCAGUGGGAGCACAGAGCAAUCUGUGUGACUGCGUACCUUUUGUAUAAUGGGUCAGCGACUUAUAUUCUGUAGCAAGGUUAACCGAAUAGGGGAGCCGAAGGGAAACCGAGUCUUAACUGGGCGUUAAGUUGCAGGGUAUAGACCCGAAACCCGGUGAUCUAGCCAUGGGCAGGUUGAAGGUUGGGUAACACUAACUGGAGGACCGAACCGACUAAUGUUGAAAAAUUAGCGGAUGACUUGUGGCUGGGGGUGAAAGGCCAAUCAAACCGGGAGAUAGCUGGUUCUCCCCGAAAGCUAUUUAGGUAGCGCCUCGUGAAUUCAUCUCCGGGGGUAGAGCACUGUUUCGGCAAGGGGGUCAUCCCGACUUACCAACCCGAUGCAAACUGCGAAUACCGGAGAAUGUUAUCACGGGAGACACACGGCGGGUGCUAACGUCCGUCGUGAAGAGGGAAACAACCCAGACCGCCAGCUAAGGUCCCAAAGUCAUGGUUAAGUGGGAAACGAUGUGGGAAGGCCCAGACAGCCAGGAUGUUGGCUUAGAAGCAGCCAUCAUUUAAAGAAAGCGUAAUAGCUCACUGGUCGAGUCGGCCUGCGCGGAAGAUGUAACGGGGCUAAACCAUGCACCGAAGCUGCGGCAGCGACGCUGAUGCGUUGUUGGGUAGGGGAGCGUUCUGUAAGCCUGCGAAGGUGUGCUGUGAGGCAUGCUGGAGGUAUCAGAAGUGCGAAUGCUGACAUAAGUAACGAUAAAGCGGGUGAAAAGCCCGCUCGCCGGAAGACCAAGGGUUCCUGUCCAACGUUAAUCGGGGCAGGGUGAGUCGACCCCUAAGGCGAGGCCGAAAGGCGUAGUCGAUGGGAAACAGGUUAAUAUUCCUGUACUUGGUGUUACUGCGAAGGGGGGACGGAGAAGGCUAUGUUGGCCGGGCGACGGUUGUCCCGGUUUAAGCGUGUAGGCUGGUUUUCCAGGCAAAUCCGGAAAAUCAAGGCUGAGGCGUGAUGACGAGGCACUACGGUGCUGAAGCAACAAAUGCCCUGCUUCCAGGAAAAGCCUCUAAGCAUCAGGUAACAUCAAAUCGUACCCCAAACCGACACAGGUGGUCAGGUAGAGAAUACCAAGGCGCUUGAGAGAACUCGGGUGAAGGAACUAGGCAAAAUGGUGCCGUAACUUCGGGAGAAGGCACGCUGAUAUGUAGGUGAAGUCCCUCGCGGAUGGAGCUGAAAUCAGUCGAAGAUACCAGCUGGCUGCAACUGUUUAUUAAAAACACAGCACUGUGCAAACACGAAAGUGGACGUAUACGGUGUGACGCCUGCCCGGUGCCGGAAGGUUAAUUGAUGGGGUCAGCGCAAGCGAAGCUCUUGAUCGAAGCCCCGGUAAACGGCGGCCGUAACUAUAACGGUCCUAAGGUAGCGAAAUUCCUUGUCGGGUAAGUUCCGACCUGCACGAAUGGCGUAAUGAUGGCCAGGCUGUCUCCACCCGAGACUCAGUGAAAUUGAACUCGCUGUGAAGAUGCAGUGUACCCGCGGCAAGACGGAAAGACCCCGUGAACCUUUACUAUAGCUUGACACUGAACAUUGAGCCUUGAUGUGUAGGAUAGGUGGGAGGCUUUGAAGUGUGGACGCCAGUCUGCAUGGAGCCGACCUUGAAAUACCACCCUUUAAUGUUUGAUGUUCUAACGUGGACCCGUGAUCCGGGUUGCGGACAGUGUCUGGUGGGUAGUUUGACUGGGGCGGUCUCCUCCUAAAGAGUAACGGAGGAGCACGAAGGUUGGCUAAUCCUGGUCGGACAUCAGGAGGUUAGUGCAAUGGCAUAAGCCAGCUUGACUGCGAGCGUGACGGCGCGAGCAGGUGCGAAAGCAGGUCAUAGUGAUCCGGUGGUUCUGAAUGGAAGGGCCAUCGCUCAACGGAUAAAAGGUACUCCGGGGAUAACAGGCUGAUACCGCCCAAGAGUUCAUAUCGACGGCGGUGUUUGGCACCUCGAUGUCGGCUCAUCACAUCCUGGGGCUGAAGUAGGUCCCAAGGGUAUGGCUGUUCGCCAUUUAAAGUGGUACGCGAGCUGGGUUUAGAACGUCGUGAGACAGUUCGGUCCCUAUCUGCCGUGGGCGCUGGAGAACUGAGGGGGGCUGCUCCUAGUACGAGAGGACCGGAGUGGACGCAUCACUGGUGUUCGGGUUGUCAUGCCAAUGGCACUGCCCGGUAGCUAAAUGCGGAAGAGAUAAGUGCUGAAAGCAUCUAAGUACGAAACUUGCCCCGAGAUGAGUUCUCCCUGACUCCUUGA